GUGCUCACUUCAGCACAUAUACUGAAAUUGGAACAGUACAGAGAUCAGCAUGGCCCUUGCUCAAGGAUGACACAUGAAUUUGUGAAACAUUCCAUUAAAAA
Molecule: small nuclear RNA, 101 nt
Filed under: Panthera tigris altaica (Amur tiger)
Lineage: Eukaryota; Metazoa; Chordata; Mammalia; Carnivora; Felidae
Source: RNAcentral